Molecule: ribosomal RNA, 253 nt
Filed under: uncultured bacterium
Lineage: Bacteria
Description: partial 16S ribosomal RNA
Rfam family: Bacterial small subunit ribosomal RNA
Source: RNAcentral
UACGGAGGGGGCGAGCGUUGUCCGAAGUUACUGGGCGUAAAGCGCGCGUAGGCAGGUUGGUAAGUCCGCUGUGAAAGCCCGGAGCUUAACUCCGGAGGGUCGGUGGAUACUGCCAGUCUUGAAGGUGCUAGGGGGAGAUGGAAUUACCGGUGUAGCGGUGAAAUGCGUAGAUAUCGGUAGGAACACCAGUGGCGAAGGCGGUCUCCUGGGGCAUUCUUGACGCUGAGGCGCGAAAGCUGGGGGAGCAAACGGG